This 483-nucleotide ribosomal RNA is filed under the name uncultured bacterium. RNAcentral describes it as "partial 16S ribosomal RNA". It matches the Rfam family "Bacterial small subunit ribosomal RNA", at positions 29 to 507 of the family's 1533-position model. The record is from RNAcentral.
AGUGAACGCUGGCGGCAGGCCUAACACAUGCAAGUCGAGCGGCAGCGCGGGGGCAACCCUGGCGGCGAGCGGCGGACGGGUGAGGAAUUCGUCGGAAUCUGCCUUUUUGUGGGGGAUAACGUAGGGAAACUUACGCUAAUACCGCAUACGUCCUACGGGAGAAAGUGGGGACCGCAAGGCCUCACGCAGAAAGAUGAGCCGACGACCGAUUAGCUAGUUGGUGGGGUAAAGGCCCACCAAGGCGACGAUCGGUAGCUGGUCUGAGAGGAUGAUCAGCCACACUGGGACUGAGACACGGCCCAGACUCCUACGGGAGGCAGCAGUGGGGAAUAUUGGACAAUGGGCGCAAGCCUGAUCCAGCCAUGUCGCGUGUGUGAAGAAGGCCUUCGGGUUGUAAAGCACUUUUGUCCGGAAAGAAAUCCCUGGAGCUAAUACCUUCGGGGGAUGACGGUACCGGAAGAAUAAGCACCGGCUAACUUCGUG